This 436-nucleotide ribosomal RNA is filed under the name uncultured bacterium. RNAcentral's name for it is "partial 16S ribosomal RNA". It matches the Rfam family "Bacterial small subunit ribosomal RNA", at positions 341 to 792 of the family's 1533-position model. The record is from RNAcentral.
ACGGAAGGCAGCAGUGGGGAAUAUUGGGCAAUGGGGGAAACCCUGACCCAGCAACGCCGCGUGGAGGAAGAAGGUUUUCGGAUCGUAAACUCCUGUCCUAAGGGAAGAUAAGAAGGCUGUACCUUAGGAGGAAGCACCGGCUAACUACGUGCCAGCAGCCGCGGUAAUACGUAGGGGGCAAGCGUUGUCCGGAAUGAUUGGGCGCAAAGGGCGCGUAGGCGGCCCGGUAAGUCUGAAGUGAAAGUCCUGCUUUUAAGGUGGGAAUUGCUUUGGAUACUGUCGGGCUUGAGUGCAGGAGAGGUUGUUGGAAUUCCCAGUGUAGCGGUGAAAUGCGUAGAGAUUGGGAGGAACACCAGUGGCGAAGGCGAGUAACUGGACAGUAACUGACGCUGAGGCGCGAAAGUGUGGGGAGCAAACAGGAUUAGAUACCCUGGUA